GGGAGAAGGGAUUCACAUAUGAAACAGGCUUGUUCCUAAUUUGAAUAAAAAAAUUUAAAGAAAAAAAAAAGAUUUGAGGCAACUUAAAAUGCUGAAGAAAUGAUCUGACAUCAGGCACUAGUGAAAUGUCCAGGGAUCUACAGAGAUGAUGACGACUAAGAGUCUAAGUAAGAAUGAAAAGGCUACCUUAAAUGCCAUUCCCCUGUAAUGAGAUUGCUGACUUCAUAACUAUAUGCUAGAGCCUUGAUCCAGCAUCUGCUGGAAGCAGAAGCGAUGCGUGUUCCCUAAAUGAGAUUAACAACUUCCUUAUAUUCCAUCCUAGAGCCUUAUCCAGUAGCUGCUGGAAGAAGAAGCAAAUGCCUUUCCACAGUAGUGAGAUUGGUGACUACCUUAUAUCCAGUAGCUUCUGGAAGCAGAAGGGAAGGCCCUUCCCUUGUAAUCAGAUGAUGACUACUGUAUAUACCUUCCUGGAGCCUUCAUCCAGUAGCUGCUGGAAAAACUGAGUGACCGUCCCUGGUAAUGAGAUUGAUGCCUACCUUAUAUGCCAUCUUAGAGCCUUCAUCCAGGAGCCACAGGAAACAAAAUGGAAUGCACUUCCCAUAUAAUACGAUUGACACCUACCUUAAUGCCAUCCUAGAGCCUUCAUCCAGUAGAUUGUAGAGGCAAAAGGAAAUGCCCUUUCCCUAUGACAGAAUUGAUGGCUACAUUAUAUGCCAUGACACAGCCUUCAUCCUGUAGCUGAUAGUAGCAGAAGGGAAUGCCCUUCCCUUAUAAUGAAUUUGAUGAGUUACUAUAGAGGAUUACAAAGUGUAGUCAGAAAUAGAUUGAUCACCACUAGUUUAUUUGGGAAAAAUAUUCAAGCCAGAGUGCAACACGCCGGCUUUCACCUGAGCAGGAAGGACCCAUAAAUGCUACUCAGUCAGCUCAGCCUGGUGAAAGAGAGCCUUGUGCACGCCUGUUUCUUCCUGAAACCCUUGUUAGGUAACUAUGUGUGUGUGGUCAUUGUUACCUGUGACCUUCGGGAAGUGGACUUGGUGUUACCUCUAAUCCUGGUUUCUCCUUAAAAUUCACCAUUUGAUCUAAAGACGAUUUAAAUUGAACAGUGUAAAAUCUCUAUAGUUACCAAACAUAAAGGUGAAUUACAUAAAGAUAUAAUGGUUUUUUUUUUUUUUUGGUUCUUUGAGUCAAAGUUAAUAAUCCCUUAAUGCUUCCGAGUCAGUUCAGCUAGGUGAAAUAGAGCCUUGUGCAUGCAUCUUUAUUCCUGAAACCCUUGAAAGGUAACUCUGACCACGGUCAUGUUGGUGUGAUCAUUGGUACCUGUGACCUUCGGAAAGUGGACUUAGUCAGUCGUACCUCUAAUACUGGCCUCUACUUAAAAUUCUCCUUUUGGUCUACAUAGGAUUUAAAUUUAACAGUGGAAGUUAUCUAUAAUUACCAAACAUAAAGUUAAAUUACAUGAAACAAAAUCUUUUUUUUUUGUUUUUUUUGAACAUCGUUAAUAAUCCCUUAAAUGCUUCCCCAUCAGAUAAGCCAGGUGAAGGAGAGCCCUGUUCGUGCCUCAUUCUUCCUGAAUCCCUUGUUAGGUAACUCUGACCACGCCCAUGUGGGUGUGGUCAUUGGUACCUGUGACCUUCGGAAAGUGCAUUUAGGCAGUAUAACUCUAAUCCUGGUCGCUACUCAAAAUACCCCUUUCGGUCUAAGUAGGAUUUAAAUUUAACAGUGGAAGUUAUCUAUAAUUACCAAUCACAAAGUUAAAUUACCUGAAAAAAAAAUAUCUUUUUUUGUUUUUUUUUGAUACAUCUUUAAUAAUCCCUUAAAUGCUUCUCCAAAAGAUCACCAGGUGAAACAGACCCUUGUGCAUGACUCUUUCUUCC
RNAcentral lists this long non-coding RNA (1874 nucleotides) under Cricetulus griseus (Chinese hamster). Its description in RNAcentral is "lncRNA (ENSCGRG00015037200.1)". Lineage: Eukaryota; Metazoa; Chordata; Mammalia; Rodentia; Cricetidae. The record is from RNAcentral.